RNAcentral lists this unclassified non-coding RNA (253 nucleotides) under uncultured Solirubrobacterales bacterium. RNAcentral describes it as "contains 16S-23S intergenic spacer region". It matches the Rfam family "Bacterial small subunit ribosomal RNA", at positions 524 to 776 of the family's 1533-position model. The record is from RNAcentral. Lineage: Bacteria; Bacillati; Actinomycetota; Thermoleophilia; Solirubrobacterales.
UACGUAGGGGGCAAGCGUUGUCCGGAAUCAUUGGGCGUAAAGCGCACGUAGGCGGCCCGGUCAGUCUGCUGUGAAAGUCGAAGGCUCAACCUUCGAAGGCCAGUGGAUACUGCCGGGCUAGAGUCCGGAAGAGGCGAGUGGAAUUCCUGGUGUAGCGGUGGAAUGCGCAGAUAUCAGGAGGAACACCAACGGCGAAGGCAGCUCGCUGGGACGGUACUGACGCUGAGGUGCGAAAGCGUGGGGAGCGAACAGG